AUUGAACGCUGGCGGCAUGCCUUACACAUGCAAGUCGAACGGCAGCACGGGUGCUUGCACCUGGUGGCGAGUGGCGAACGGGUGAGUAAUACAUCGGAACAUGUCCCGUAGUGGGGGAUAGCCCGGCGAAAGCCGGAUUAAUACCGCAUACGAUCUACGGAUGAAAGCGGGGGACCUUCGGGCUUCGCGCUAUAGGGUUGGCCGAUGGCUGGUUAGCUAGUUGGUGGGGUAAAGGCCUACCAAGGCGACGACCAGUAGCUGGUCUUAGAGGACGACCAGCCACACUGGGACUGGGACACGGCCCAGACUCCUACGGGAGGCAGCAGUGGGGGAUUUUGGACAAUGGGGGAAAACCUGGUCCAACAAUGCCGCGUGUGUGGAGGAGGCCUUCGGGUUGGAAAGCACUUUUGUCCGGAAAGAAAUCCUUGGCCCUAAUACGGUCGGGGGAUGACGGUACCGGAAGAAUAAGCACCGGCUAACUACGUG
Molecule: ribosomal RNA, 486 nt
Filed under: uncultured bacterium
Lineage: Bacteria
Description: partial 16S ribosomal RNA
Rfam family: Bacterial small subunit ribosomal RNA
Source: RNAcentral